The sequence is a small nuclear RNA, 121 nucleotides long. Its record names the gene U2. It matches the Rfam family "U2 spliceosomal RNA". Rfam says of the family: U2 is a small nuclear RNA (snRNA) component of the spliceosome (involved in pre-mRNA splicing). Complementary binding between U2 snRNA (in an area lying towards the 5' end but 3' to hairpin I) and the branchpoint sequence (BPS) of the intron results the bulging out of an unpaired adenosine, on the BPS, which initiates a nucleophilic attack at the intronic 5' splice site, thus starting the first of two transesterification reactions that mediate splicing. The record is from Ensembl.
AUUGCUUCUCGGCAUUUUGGCUAAGAUCAAGUGUAGUAUCUAUUCUUAUCAGAAUAUAUUCUUAUUCAAACCACAACAUAGACUUUUCCUUGAAUCAGAUGUUAGCAGAUUAGGGCCUUCU